RNAcentral lists this ribosomal RNA (389 nucleotides) under Uroplatus pietschmanni. RNAcentral's name for it is "partial 12S ribosomal RNA". It matches the Rfam family "Bacterial small subunit ribosomal RNA", at positions 791 to 1384 of the family's 1533-position model. The record is from RNAcentral. Lineage: Eukaryota; Metazoa; Chordata; Lepidosauria; Squamata; Gekkonidae.
UAUGCUCAGUCGUAAACCAAGGUGUAAUAUCACCCUGCACCCGCCAGAGCACUACAAGCAAACAGCUUAAAACUCAAAAGACUUGACAGUAUCUCACACCAACCUAGAGGAGCCCGUCCUACAACCGAUAACCCACGAUCAACCUCACCUGCCUUUGAAAAACAGCCUAUAUACCUCCGUCGCCAGCCCGCCUGACAACAGCCUUUAAGCGGGUACAACAAUUAUUAACCAUUAAAACGACAGGUCAAGGUGUAGCUUAUGGGCCGGGCAGAGAUUGGCUACAUUUCCUAAUAUAGAAUAUACCAAGCCGCCAUGAAAUAGGCACUACAAGGUGGAUUUAGCAGUAAGGCGGGUAAGAGAGCCCGUCUGAAGCCUGCUCUGAGAUGUGU